Molecule: ribosomal RNA, 1616 nt
Filed under: Glomus sp. 8 SUN-2011
Lineage: Eukaryota; Fungi; Glomeromycota; Glomeromycetes; Glomerales; Glomeraceae
Description: eukaryotic LSU rRNA
Rfam family: Eukaryotic large subunit ribosomal RNA (bases 770-1616)
Source: RNAcentral
UCGCUCUUCAACGAGGAAUCCCUAGUAAGCACAGGUCAUCAGCUUGUGCUGAUUACGUCCCUGCCCUUUGUACACACCGCCCGUCGCUACUACCGAUUGAAUGGCUUAGUGAGGCCCUCGGAUCGAUUUUCUGAGACUGGCAACAGUCUUUGAUUGUUGAGAAGUUGGUCAAACUUGGUCAUUUAGAGGAAGUAAAAGUCGUAACAAGGUUUCCGUAGGUGAACCUGCGGAAGGAUCAUUAUUAUUUGGAUAGGGUUUAACGCUAAUUUGUCCUUUAUAGUUGGUGGGAAACCUCUUCUAAAUAUUUUAAAUUUUAUUACUUCCUUUUGAAAAAAAGGAGCAAGAUGAAAUAUAUUUAAAACCCAACUCUUAAAUGUAUAUAAUUAUGUAUUUUUUAAAUGAUAAAAAUUAAAAGAUCACUUUCAACAACGGAUCUCUUGGCUCUCGCAUCGAUGAAGAACCUAGCGAAGUGCGAUAAGUAAUGUGAAUUGCAGAAUUCCGUGAAUCAUCGAAUCUUUGAACGCAUAUUGCACUUUCUGGUAUUCCGGAAAGUAUGCCUGUUUGAGGGUCAGUUAAAUAAAAAUCGGUGUUGUUGCUACCCGUAGUGGUGGUGAUACAUCGGAAUUGAGUUGUCUUUACCUUUUUUGGUUAAGUGACUUAAAAUUAUGUACGAUUUUUUGAACGUAUUUAAAUUGUUUUAUGUAUGUUCAUAAUAUCAAAUAUUAGGUGCGGUCAUUCUUAUGAUUUCGCGUCUAUAAUUUUCAUUAUUUGACCUCAAAUCAGGUAAGAGUACCCGCUGAACUUAAGCAUAUCAAUAAGCGGAGGAAAAGAAAAUAACAAUGAUUCCCUUAGUAACGGCGAGUGAAGGGGGAUAAGCUCAAAUUUUAAAUCUGCUAGGUCCUACCUAUUAGAGUUGUAAUUUGAAGAAGCGUUUUCCGCGUCUCGGUUGACCCAAAUCCUUUGGGAUAUGGUAUCAUGGAGGGUGAGAAUCCCGUUCGGUUGACCUUGUGACGCUUUACGAUACGUUUUCAAAGAGUCGAGUUGUUUGGGAUUGCAGCUCAAAAUGGGAGGUAAAUUUCUCCUAAGGCUAAAUAUUGGCGAGAGACCGAUAGCGAACAAGUACCGUGAGGGAAAGAUGAAAAGAACUUUGAAAAGAGAGUAAAAUAGUACGUGAAAUUGUUGAAAGGGAAACGAUUGAAGUCAGUCGUACCGACGGAAAAUCAGCUUUUUGAGUGCGGACUUGUGGGUUUACGUGAGCUUUACGGCCUCGUUGUUUGCAAUGUUCGUUCUUUUUGGGUGUACUUUUUCGUAUGGUUGGCCAAUAUCAGUUUCGAUCGCUAUAAAAUGACCGGCGGAAUGUAGCUUCGAUCUCGUAUUGAAGUGUUAUAGCCUCUGGUAGAUGUGGUGAUUGGGACUGAGGAUUGCAACGAAUACCUUUUUGGGCUAUCCGUCUGAUCUCUGAAAGUUGCUUAGGUGCCGAAAGCGUGCUUACGGUUAUUUAAGUUGACGGUCAAAAGGUUAGAACGUGAUUAUAUUCGUUAAGGAUGUUGGCGUAAUGGCUUUAAACGACCCGUCUUGAAACACGGACCAAGGAGUCUAGCAUAUAUGCGAGUGUU